This 254-nucleotide ribosomal RNA is filed under the name uncultured bacterium. Its description in RNAcentral is "partial 16S ribosomal RNA". It matches the Rfam family "Bacterial small subunit ribosomal RNA", at positions 524 to 776 of the family's 1533-position model. The record is from RNAcentral.
UACGUAGGGUGCAAGCGUUGUCCGGAAUUAUUGGGCGUAAAGAGCUCGUAGGCGGUUUGUUGCGUCGGCUGUGAAAUCCCGAGGCUCAACCUCGGGUCUGCAGUCGAUACGAGCAAACUAGAGUGUUGCAGGGGAGACUGGAAUUCCUGGUGUAGCGGUGAAAUGCGCAGAUAUCAGGAAGAACACCCGUGGCUAAGGCGGCUCUCUAGUACGGUACUGACGCUGAGACGCGAAAGCGUGGGGGAGCGAACAGG